Molecule: ribosomal RNA, 119 nt
Filed under: Pteropus alecto (black flying fox)
Lineage: Eukaryota; Metazoa; Chordata; Mammalia; Chiroptera; Pteropodidae
Source: RNAcentral
AUCUACGGCCAUGCCACCCUGAACGAGCUCGAUCCCGUCUGAUCUCGGCAGCGAAGCAGGGUCGGGCCUGGUUAGUGUUUGGAUGGGAGACCACCUAGGAAGACCAGGUGCUGUAGGCA